This 443-nucleotide ribosomal RNA is filed under the name uncultured bacterium. Its description in RNAcentral is "bacterial SSU rRNA". It matches the Rfam family "Bacterial small subunit ribosomal RNA", at positions 947 to 1388 of the family's 1533-position model. The record is from RNAcentral.
UAAUUCGAUGAUACGCGAGGAACCUUACCCGGGCUUAAAUGUAGCCGUGCAUUGGUGUGAAAACCACCAUUUCCCUCGGGACCCGCUACAAGGUGCUGCAUGGUUGUCGUCAGCUCGUGCCGUGAGGUGUCGGGUUAAGUCCCAUAACGAGCGCAACCCCUAUCUUUAGUUGCCACCAGGUAAUGCUGGGGCCUCUAAAGAAACUGCCCGCGCAAGCGGUGAGGAAGGUGGGGAUGACGUCAAAUCAGCACGGCCCUUAUGUCCGGGGCUACACACGUGCUACAAUGGCCGGUACAGUGGGCAGCUCAUGCGCGAGCAUUUGCUAAUCUCUAAAACCGGUCUCAGUCCGGAUCGGAGUCUGCAACCCGACUCCGUGAAGCUGGAUUCGCUAGUAAUCGCACAUGAGCCAUGGUGCGGUGAAUACGUUCCCGGGCCUUGUACAC